GUCUACAGCCAUACCACCCUGAACUCACCAGGUCUCAGAAGCUAAGCAGAGUUGGACCUAGUUAGUACUUGGAUGGGAAACAAUGUUUUUUUUGUUUUGUUUUGUUUUUUUAAGAAAACCAAAACAUUGUAUAUC
This 135-nucleotide ribosomal RNA is filed under the name Microcebus murinus (gray mouse lemur). The record is from RNAcentral. Lineage: Eukaryota; Metazoa; Chordata; Mammalia; Primates; Cheirogaleidae.